UAGUGGCGGACGGGUGAGUAACACGUUGGUACCUACCCCGAAGUGGGGAAUAACUGCCCGAAAGGGUGGCUAAUACCGCAUAAUCCCGCAAGGGUAAAGCAGUAAUGCGCUUCGGGAGGGGCCUGCGUCUGAUUAGCUAGUUGGUAGUGUAAUGGACUACCAAGGCUACGAUCAGUAGCUGGAUCGAGAGGUUGACCAGCCACACUGGGACUGAGAUACGGCCCAG
Molecule: ribosomal RNA, 226 nt
Filed under: uncultured bacterium
Lineage: Bacteria
Description: partial 16S ribosomal RNA
Rfam family: Bacterial small subunit ribosomal RNA
Source: RNAcentral